CCUACGGGGGGCUGCAGUGAGGAAUAUUGGUCAAUGGACGAGAGUCUGAACCAGCCAAGUAGCGUGAAGGAUGACUGCCCUAUGGGUUGUAAACUUCUUUUAUAUGGGAGUAAAAUGUUCCACGUGUGGGAUUUUGUAUGUACCAUAUGAAUAAGGAUCGGCUAACUCCGUGCCAGCAGCCGCGGUAAUACGGAGGAUCCGAGCGUUAUCCGGAUUUAUUGGGGUGAAAGGGAGCGUAGGGGGAUUGUUAAGUCAGUUGUGAAAGUUUGCGGCUCAACCGUAAAAUUGCAGUUGAAACUGGCAGUCUGGAGUACAGGAGAGGUGGGCGGAAUUCGUGGUGUAGCGGUGAAAUGCGUAGAUAUCACGAAGAACUCCGAUUGCGAAGGCAGCUCACUGGACUGCAACUGACACUGAGGCUCGAAAGUGUGGGUAUCAAACAGGAUUAGAUACCCGAGUAGUC
Molecule: ribosomal RNA, 460 nt
Filed under: uncultured bacterium
Lineage: Bacteria
Description: partial 16S ribosomal RNA
Rfam family: Bacterial small subunit ribosomal RNA
Source: RNAcentral